Oryza sativa Japonica Group (Japanese rice) is the source of this 1423-nucleotide long non-coding RNA. RefSeq lists it as uncharacterized. The record is from RefSeq and is a predicted model, not a curated record. Lineage: Eukaryota; Viridiplantae; Streptophyta; Magnoliopsida; Poales; Poaceae.
GUAGACUGCCAGACGGUUUCUCCACUCCAAUCGCCACUCGCCACCGCCGCCCACCCGCAACUGCCGCCGACUCCUCCGCCAAUCCACCCCCACGAACGAUUCUUCCUCGCCGACGCCGCCACCCACCCACAACCACCGCCGCCUCCGCUCCAGAUCCCCCGCCGGGCAGAGUCUUACUCCUCCUCCUCCCCGCCGCCGACUCUUACUCCUCCGCCCACUCACCACGCGCGCUGCCCGCUUGCCUCCUCUGCCCAUCCACCCCAGCCGUCGACGCCGCCGUCACCCACCCGCAACCGCCGUGGACGCCACCGUUGCCGACGCCUACUACUUCGCCCACUAGCCACGCGUGCUGCCCACCUGCCUCCUCCUACCACCAGCCGCCGCCGACGACUAAUCCUCCAGAUCGCCACAGUCGCCGUGGCUGCCGCCGUUCGCGUGCUCCUCCUACCCAUCAGCCCAUUGCCCCGCGUCGCUUCGUCUCCUCACCCCGCUGCUUCUCGACACCGCCACCGCAGGAUUUGGGAGCUACAACGCAACGACGAGCUACCACCGCACCGAUCGCCAACUCUGAAUGAUUGAAUUUCUGAAGCCGAAGAUCGCCGAGCCAGCGACGAUCUCCUCCGCGGCAGCCGCUGACCGGCUCCGCCCGCCUGCCGAAACGAACGUCAUGUGUGUGGUGUGGCUAAAUGUGUUUGAUACAAUCAGGUGCGACAGCUGGUGAAGACUACGACGGCGGUGGCGGUGGUUCUUCGACGGUCUGGGCUGGCGUUGUGGCAGCUGACACAGGCGGCGCGGGCGAGAAAACGGCUCAAAAACGAUCUUUGCGGCAAACCAGUCCAGGCCUGCGGUCGCUGCCGAUGUCGAGCCACCAAUCUCACACAGAAUCUAUGCCGUGAUCUCCGCCGCCGAUGCCGGAUAUCUGCCCGCCGUCGGUUCGGACACCCCGCAUUCGCGCGCGGCGCCACCGACGCCCGGCAUCCUCUCACACGCAACGCUGGCCGCCGCCUAACCCAACAGUAGUCGCCGCUCCAACUGCAUCACAGCAGCCGCCGGGCGCCGUAGAUUCCGACACCCCUCCUUCGCGUGCGACGACGCCGACUCCCUGCAAUGGGCAAGCACGAUGGAUCAGCAUUUUGUUCUUUUUCUGAGGUGUCAUCCUGCAUGUGCAGGAAAGUGAAGAGCAUGCAAGCCUAGAUGAGUACAUGGAGAACUGGUUUGGACUGGAUCAAUACUAAUGUGCGUGCAACAACUACUGCGACAGCACGGGCAAAGGUCUUCAGACUGAAGUUUCAAUGUAGCUUCAUCAAAUUUUUGAAAGCUUUCAGCUCUUGUGAUUGAGGCAGGUAUCUCUGCCCUCCUUGUUUGAGGAUUGAGUAUAUGAGAAACUGAAGUGAAGGAGGAUUUGUGCAUGAAAAAUAUUGCA